This 107-nucleotide small nuclear RNA is filed under the name Saimiri boliviensis boliviensis (Bolivian squirrel monkey). Lineage: Eukaryota; Metazoa; Chordata; Mammalia; Primates; Cebidae. The record is from RNAcentral.
AUGCUCCCUUUGGCAGCACAUGUACUAAAAUUGGAAUGAUACAGAGAAGAUUAGCAUGGCCCCUCUGCAAGGAUGACACGCAAAUUCAUGAAGCAUUCCUUUGUUUU